This 475-nucleotide ribosomal RNA is filed under the name uncultured bacterium. RNAcentral describes it as "bacterial SSU rRNA". It matches the Rfam family "Bacterial small subunit ribosomal RNA", at positions 28 to 516 of the family's 1533-position model. The record is from RNAcentral.
GACGAACGCUGGCGGCGCGCCUAACACAUGCAAGUCGAACGAGCGAGAGAGAGCUUGCUUUCUCGAGCGAGUGGCGAACGGGUGAGUAACGCGUGAGGAACCUGCCUCAAAGAGGGGGACAACAGUUGGAAACGACUGCUAAUACCGCAUAAGCCCACGGCUCGGCAUCGAGCAGAGGGAAAAGGAGCAAUCCGCUUUGAGAUGGCCUCGCGUCCGAUUAGCUAGUUGGUGAGGUAACGGCCCACCAAGGCGACGAUCGGUAGCCGGACUGAGAGGUUGAACGGCCACAUUGGGACUGAGACACGGCCCAGACUCCUACGGGAGGCAGCAGUGGGGGAUAUUGCACAAUGGGGGAAACCCUGAUGCAGCGACGCCGCGUGAGUGAAGAAGUAUUUCGGUAUGUAAAGCUCUAUCAGCAGGAAAGAUAAUGACGGUACCUGACUAAGAAGCACCGGCUAACUACGUGCCAGCAGCC